RNAcentral lists this ribosomal RNA (649 nucleotides) under Acinetobacter baumannii OIFC143. RNAcentral's name for it is "bacterial SSU rRNA". It matches the Rfam family "Bacterial small subunit ribosomal RNA", at positions 55 to 698 of the family's 1533-position model. Lineage: Bacteria; Pseudomonadati; Pseudomonadota; Gammaproteobacteria; Moraxellales; Moraxellaceae. The record is from RNAcentral.
AUGCAAGUCGAGCGGGGGAAGGUAGCUUGCUACCGGACCUAGCGGCGGACGGGUGAGUAAUGCUUAGGAAUCUGCCUAUUAGUGGGGGACAACAUCUCGAAAGGGAUGCUAAUACCGCAUACGUCCUACGGGAGAAAGCAGGGGAUCUUCGGACCUUGCGCUAAUAGAUGAGCCUAAGUCGGAUUAGCUAGUUGGUGGGGUAAAGGCCUACCAAGGCGACGAUCUGUAGCGGGUCUGAGAGGAUGAUCCGCCACACUGGGACUGAGACACGGCCCAGACUCCUACGGGAGGCAGCAGUGGGGAAUAUUGGACAAUGGGGGGAACCCUGAUCCAGCCAUGCCGCGUGUGUGAAGAAGGCCUUAUGGUUGUAAAGCACUUUAAGCGAGGAGGAGGCUACUUUAGUUAAUACCUAGAGAUAGUGGACGUUACUCGCAGAAUAAGCACCGGCUAACUCUGUGCCAGCAGCCGCGGUAAUACAGAGGGUGCGAGCGUUAAUCGGAUUUACUGGGCGUAAAGCGUGCGUAGGCGGCUUAUUAAGUCGGAUGUGAAAUCCCCGAGCUUAACUUGGGAAUUGCAUUCGAUACUGGUGAGCUAGAGUAUGGGAGAGGAUGGUAGAAUUCCAGGUGUAGCGGUGAAAUGCGUAGAGAUC